GCAUCGGUGGUUUAGUGGUAAAAUUAGCCGUUGCCAAGAAACAGUUCAUUGAGCUGAUUCACAACUUCGGCUAGCCCCGGGUUCGAUUCCCGGCCGAUGCA
This is a non-coding RNA of Didymosphaeria variabile, 101 nucleotides long. Lineage: Eukaryota; Fungi; Ascomycota; Dothideomycetes; Pleosporales; Didymosphaeriaceae. The record is from the annotation of a RefSeq genome assembly.